Molecule: ribosomal RNA, 465 nt
Filed under: uncultured bacterium
Lineage: Bacteria
Description: partial 16S ribosomal RNA
Rfam family: Bacterial small subunit ribosomal RNA
Source: RNAcentral
CCUACGGGGUGCAGCAGUGGGGAAUCUUGCGCAAUGGGCGAAAGCCUGCCGCAGCGACGCCGCGUGGGGGAUGAAGGUCUUCGGAUCGUAAACCUCUGUCAGCAGGGAAGACCGGUCCCUGUGCUAAUCAGCAGUGAAUUGCCGGUACCUGCAAAGGAAGCACCGGCUACCUCCGUGCCAGCAGCCGCGGUAAUACGGAGGGUGCGAGCGUUACUCGGAAUUACUGGGCGUAAAGCGCUCGUAGGCGGUAUGUCAAGUCAAGGGUGAAAGCCCCGCGCUCACCGUGGGAACUGCCUUUGAAACUGGCAAACUGGAGUGUGUGAGAGGAUAGUGGAAUGCCAGGUGUAGGAGUGAAAUCCGUAGAUAUCUGGAGGAACAUCAGUGGCGAAGGCGACUAUCUGGCACAUAACUGACGCCGAGGAGCGAAAGCGUGGGUAGCAAACAGGAUUAGAUACCCCUGUAGUC